CAGUCCACGCCGUAAACGAUGGAUACUAGGUGUCCGGGAUAUUAACCUCCUGGGUACUACAGUUAACGCGUUAAGUAUCCCGUCUGGGGAGUACGGUCGCAAGGCUAAAACUCAAAGGAAUUGACGGGGGCCCGCACAAGCGGUGGAGUAUGUGGUUUAAUUCGAAGCAACGCGCAGAACCUUACCUACCCUUAACAUUUCACGACGUAUACAGAGAUGUAUAUUUCUCUUCGGAGACGUGAGGAUAGGUGCUGCAUGGCUGUCGUCAGCUCGUGUCGUAAGAUGUCUGGUUAAGUCCAAUAACGAGCGCAACCCUUAUCCUUAGUUACCAACAUUAAGUUGGGGACUCUAGGGAGACUGCCGGUGUUAAACCGGAGGAAGGCGGGGAUGACGUCAAGUCAUCACGGCCCUUACGUCCUGGGCCACACACGUGCUACAAUGGCGAGUACAGAGGGCAGCUACCUAGUGAUAGGAUGCAAAUCUCUAAAACUCGUCUCAGUUCGGAUUGAAGUCUGCAACUCGACUUCA
This 528-nucleotide ribosomal RNA is filed under the name uncultured bacterium. Its description in RNAcentral is "bacterial SSU rRNA". It matches the Rfam family "Bacterial small subunit ribosomal RNA", at positions 791 to 1320 of the family's 1533-position model. The record is from RNAcentral.